GACGAACGCGGCGGCGUGCUUAACACAUGCAAGUCGAACGAAGAGCGAUGGAAGCUUGCUCCUAUCAAUCUUAGUGGCGAACGGGUGAGUAACGCGUAAUCAACCUGCCCUUCAGAGGGGGACAACAGUUGGAAACGACUGCUAAUACCGCAUACGAUCUAACCUUGGCAUCGAGGAUGGAUGAAAGGUGGCCUCUAUUUAUAAGCUAUCACUGAAGGAGGGGAUUGCGUCUGAUUAGCUAGUUGGAGGGGUAACGGCCCACCAAGGCGAUGAUCAGUAGCCGGUCUGAGAGGAUGAACGGCCACAUUGGGACUGAGACACGGCCCAGACUCCUACGGGAGGCAGCAGUGGGGAAUCUUCCGCAAUGGACGAAAGUCUGACGGAGCAACGCCGCGUGAGUGAUGACGGCCUUCGGGUUGUAAAGCUCUGUUAAUCGGGACGAAAGGCCUUCUUGCGAAUAGUUAGAAGGAAUGAC
Molecule: ribosomal RNA, 475 nt
Filed under: Veillonella dispar
Lineage: Bacteria; Bacillati; Bacillota; Negativicutes; Veillonellales; Veillonellaceae
Description: bacterial SSU rRNA
Rfam family: Bacterial small subunit ribosomal RNA
Source: RNAcentral